UAGAUUAUAUCUUAAUAAAAGUAUUUCAUUUACAUUGAAAAGAUAUUAAUUUUUAAUUAAUCUAA
RNAcentral lists this transfer RNA (65 nucleotides) under Pseudozizeeria maha (pale grass blue). Its description in RNAcentral is "tRNA-Val". RNAcentral also lists the same sequence under 3 other names. Lineage: Eukaryota; Metazoa; Arthropoda; Insecta; Lepidoptera; Lycaenidae. The record is from RNAcentral.